AAAUAAGAAGCAAAAUUUGCAUUUAGUUUCGACCUAAAAAUUUGGUGUUUACCCUUAUUUA
Molecule: transfer RNA, 61 nt
Filed under: Cucujoidea sp. 6 KM-2017
Lineage: Eukaryota; Metazoa; Arthropoda; Insecta; Coleoptera
Description: tRNA-Arg
Source: RNAcentral